This 305-nucleotide ribosomal RNA is filed under the name uncultured bacterium. RNAcentral describes it as "bacterial SSU rRNA". It matches the Rfam family "Bacterial small subunit ribosomal RNA", at positions 337 to 659 of the family's 1533-position model. The record is from RNAcentral.
GCCUACGGGGGGCAGCAGUCGGGAAUAUUGCGCAAUGGAGGAAACUCUGACGCAGUGACGCCGCGUAUAGGAAGAAGGUUUUCGGAUUGUAAACUAUUGUCGUGAGGGAAGAAAUUGACAGUACCUCAGGAGGAAGCUCCGGCUAACUAUGUGCCAGCAGCCGCGGUAAUACGUAGGGGGCAAGCGUUAUCCGGAUUUACUGGGUGUAAAGGGAGCGUAGACGGCGGCGCAAGUCCGGAGUGAAAGCCCACGGCCCAACCGUGGGACUGCUCUGGAAACUGUGCGGCUUGAGUGCGGGAGGGGCG